GUGCCAGCCGCCGCGGUAAUACGGAGGAUGCGAGCGUUAUCCGGAUUUAUUGGGUUUAAAGGGUGCGUAGGCGGGAUGUUAAGUCAGCGGUGAAAGUUUGCGGCUCAACUGUAAAAUUGCCGUUGAAACUGGCGUUCUUGAGUGUAAACGAGGUAGGCGGAAUGUGACGUGUAGCGGUGAAAUGCUUAGAUAUGUCACAGAACCCCGAUUGCGAAGGCAGCUUACCAGCAUACAACUGACGCUGAGGCACGAAAGCGUGGGUAUCAAACAGGAUUAGAUACCCUGGUAGUCCACGCAGUAAACGAUGAAUACUAGCUGUUGGCGAUAAACAGUCAGCGGUACAGCGAAAGUGUUAAGUAUUCCACCUGGGGAGUACGCCGGCAACGGUGAAACUCAAAUGAAUUGACGG
Molecule: ribosomal RNA, 409 nt
Filed under: uncultured bacterium
Lineage: Bacteria
Description: bacterial SSU rRNA
Rfam family: Bacterial small subunit ribosomal RNA
Source: RNAcentral